CCUACGGGUGUCUGCAGUGGGGAAUAUUGGACAAUGGGCGAAAGCCUGAUCCAGCCAUGCCGCGUGUGUGAAGAAGGCCUUCGGGUUGUAAAGCACUUUCAGUGGGGAAGAAAGCCUUGGGGCUAAUACCCUCGAGGAAGGACAUCACCCACAGAAGAAGCACCGGCUAACUCCGUGCCAGCAGCCGCGGUAAUACGGAGGGUGCGAGCGUUAAUCGGAAUUACUGGGCGUAAAGCGCGCGUAGGCGGUCUGAUAAGCCGGUUGUGAAAGCCCCGGGCUCAACCUGGGAACGGCAUCCGGAACUGUCAGGCUAGAGUGCAGGAGAGGAAGGUAGAAUUCCCGGUGUAGCGGUGAAAUGCGUAGAGAUCGGGAGGAAUACCAGUGGCGAAGGCGGCCUUCUGGACUGACACUGACGCUGAGGUGCGAAAGCGUGGGUAGCAAACAGGAUUAGAUACCCUAGUAGUC
This 465-nucleotide ribosomal RNA is filed under the name Vreelandella stevensii. RNAcentral describes it as "partial 16S ribosomal RNA". It matches the Rfam family "Bacterial small subunit ribosomal RNA", at positions 338 to 795 of the family's 1533-position model. The record is from RNAcentral. Lineage: Bacteria; Pseudomonadati; Pseudomonadota; Gammaproteobacteria; Oceanospirillales; Halomonadaceae.